This 559-nucleotide ribosomal RNA is filed under the name Micromonospora soli. RNAcentral describes it as "bacterial SSU rRNA". It matches the Rfam family "Bacterial small subunit ribosomal RNA", at positions 77 to 653 of the family's 1533-position model. Lineage: Bacteria; Bacillati; Actinomycetota; Actinomycetes; Micromonosporales; Micromonosporaceae. The record is from RNAcentral.
CCUUCGGGGUACUCGAGCGGCGAACGGGUGAGUAACACGUGAGCAACCUGCCCUAGGCUUUGGGAUAACCCCGGGAAACCGGGGCUAAUACCGAAUAGGACCACCGGCCGCAUGGCUGGUGGUGGAAAGUUUUUCGGCCUGGGAUGGGCUCGCGGCCUAUCAGCUUGUUGGUGGGGUGAUGGCCUACCAAGGCGACGACGGGUAGCCGGCCUGAGAGGGCGACCGGCCACACUGGGACUGAGACACGGCCCAGACUCCUACGGGAGGCAGCAGUGGGGAAUAUUGCACAAUGGGCGGAAGCCUGAUGCAGCGACGCCGCGUGAGGGAUGACGGCCUUCGGGUUGUAAACCUCUUUCAGCAGGGACGAAGCGUAAGUGACGGUACCUGCAGAAGAAGCGCCGGCCAACUACGUGCCAGCAGCCGCGGUAAGACGUAGGGCGCGAGCGUUGUCCGGAUUUAUUGGGCGUAAAGAGCUCGUAGGCGGCUUGUCGCGUCGACUGUGAAAACCCGCAGCUCAACUGCGGGCCUGCAGUCGAUACGGGCAGGCUAGAGUUCGGUA